CCUACGGGUGGCAGCAGUGAGGAAUAUUGGUCAAUGGCCGUAAGGCUGAACCAGCCACGUCGCGUGAAUGAAGAAUGAUCUAUUGUUUGUAAACUUCUUUUAUAGGGGAAUAAAGGUCUCCACGUGUGGAGAUUUGCAUGUACCCUAUGAGUACGCAGCCGCUAACUCAGUGCCAGCAGCAGCGGUAAUACGUAGGAUGCGAGCGUUAUCCGGAUUUAGUGGGUUUAAAGGGUGCGUAGGUUGUUUUUUAAGUCAGCGGUGAAAGUUUGUGGCUCAACCAUAAAAUUGCCGUUGAAACUGGAAGACUGGAGUGUGUUUGAGGUAGGCGGAAUGCGUGGUGUAGCGGUGAAAUGCAUAGAUAUCACGCAGAACUCCGAUUGCGAAGGCAGCUUACUAAGCCAUAACUGACACUGAAGCACGAAAGCGUGGGGAUCAAACAGGAUUAGAUACCCUUGUAGUC
RNAcentral lists this ribosomal RNA (460 nucleotides) under uncultured bacterium. RNAcentral describes it as "partial 16S ribosomal RNA". It matches the Rfam family "Bacterial small subunit ribosomal RNA", at positions 338 to 795 of the family's 1533-position model. The record is from RNAcentral.